AUACGGGGGGAGCAAGCGUUGUCCGGAAUCAUUGGGCGUAAAGGGCAUGUAGGUUGUAAUUUAAGUCAGUUUUUAAAUGUCACGGCUUAACCGUGGACUGGAAUUGAAACUGGAUUACUUGAGUAUGAGAGGGGACAGAGGAAUACCUAGUGUAGCGGUGGAAUGCGUAGAUAUUAGGUAGAACACCCGAGGCGAAGGCGUCUGUCUGGCUCAUAACUGACACUGAAAUGCGAAAGCAUGGGUAGCGAACAGGAUUAGAAACCCUAGUAGUCC
RNAcentral lists this ribosomal RNA (273 nucleotides) under uncultured bacterium. RNAcentral's name for it is "partial 16S ribosomal RNA". It matches the Rfam family "Bacterial small subunit ribosomal RNA", at positions 523 to 796 of the family's 1533-position model. The record is from RNAcentral.